UCUCAGUUCCCUGGAAGGAGGCACAGCCUGGAUUCCUGGGGGCGGCCCCCUUCCGGGCAGGUCCAGACUGGGGUGCCGGGCCAUCUGCAUCCCCAACUCCUGCACACUCCCUUUCUGAGGCCCUGAACACAGACAACAGAGCAACACUUUCGAGUCAUAUUGUUUGGCAGCAGUGAAGAGAUGAAAAUGGACAGAUGUCUGAAAAGAGGUAUUCCCUCCGCUCCAAAGGAAGUCCAACAGACGUUGCACGGUCAUCAACAAUUAUUGAAGUGUACACUUGAGAAAGCAGGGUGAAGUCUGCCUUGUUGCAUCCCUAAGCACUGCGUGACUGGCUGGCUGAAUCAGACCACUGGGACCUCCCUGGUGGCGCAGUGGUUAAGAAUCCACCUGCUAAUGUAGGGGACACGGGUUCAAGCCCUGGUCCAAGCCCUGGUCUGGGAAGAUCCCACAUGCCCCGGAGCAAGUAAGCCUGUGCGCCACAACUAUUGAGCCUGCGCUCUAGAGCCCAGGAGCCACAACUACUGAGCCCACGUGCUGCAACUACUGAAGCCUGCGUGCCUAGAGCCCGUGCACCGCAAUAAGAGAAGCCACCGCAAUGAGAAGCCUGCGCACCACAACGAAGACUAGCCCCCACUCGCUGCAACUAGAGAAAGCCCGUGUGCAGCAACGAAGACCCAGCACAGCCAAAAAUAAAUAAUUAAAAAAUAUGCAUUUCAGUAA
Balaenoptera acutorostrata (minke whale) is the source of this 720-nucleotide long non-coding RNA. RefSeq lists it as uncharacterized. NCBI's taxonomy places the organism in Eukaryota, Metazoa, Chordata, Mammalia, Artiodactyla, Balaenopteridae. The transcript has 4 exons. The record is from RefSeq and is a predicted model, not a curated record.